Molecule: ribosomal RNA, 422 nt
Filed under: uncultured bacterium
Lineage: Bacteria
Description: SSU rRNA
Rfam family: Bacterial small subunit ribosomal RNA
Source: RNAcentral
CAAUGGGGGAAACCCUGAUGCAGCGACGCCGCGUGGAGGAAGAAGGUCUUCCGAUUGUAAACUCCUGUUGUUGAGGAAGAUAAUGACGGUACUCAACAAGGAAGUGACGGCUAACUACGUGCCAGCAGCCGCGGUAAAACGUAGGUCACAAGCGUUGUCCGGAAUUACUGGGUGUAAAGGGAGCGCAGGCGGGAAGACAAGUUGGAAGUGAAAUCUAUGGGCUCAACCCAUAAACUGCUUUCAAAACUGUUUUUCUUGAGUAGUGCAGAGGUAGGCGGAAUUCCCGGUGUAGCGGUGGAAUGCGUAGAUAUCGGGAGGAACACCAGUGGCGAAGGCGGCCUACUGGGCACCAACUGACGCUGAGGCUCGAAAGUGUGGGUAGCAAACAGGAUUAGAUACCCUGGUAGUCCAAGGGCGAAUUC